This 253-nucleotide ribosomal RNA is filed under the name uncultured bacterium. RNAcentral describes it as "partial 16S ribosomal RNA". It matches the Rfam family "Bacterial small subunit ribosomal RNA", at positions 524 to 776 of the family's 1533-position model. The record is from RNAcentral.
UACAGAGGCCUCGAGCGUUAGGCGGAAUCACUGGGCUUAAAGCGUGUGUAGGCGGAUCGUUAAGUGCCUUGUGAAAUCCCACGGCUUAACUGUGGAGCGGCUGGGCAUACUGGCGGUCUUGAGCCAUGUAGGGGCGACUGGAACAAACGGUGGAGCGGUGAAAUGCGUAGAUAUCGUUUGGAACGCCAAUGGUGAAAACAGGUCGCUGGGGAUGAGCUGACGCUGAGACACGAAAGCCAGGGGAGCAAACGGG